This 936-nucleotide ribosomal RNA is filed under the name uncultured bacterium. RNAcentral describes it as "bacterial SSU rRNA". It matches the Rfam family "Bacterial small subunit ribosomal RNA", at positions 28 to 967 of the family's 1533-position model. The record is from RNAcentral.
AUUGAACGCUGGCUGCAUGCUUAACACAUGCAAGUCGAACGGUAACGAUGCUAGCUUGCUAGCAGGCGACGAGUGGCGGACGGGUGAGUAAUGCAUAGGAAUCUGCCUAGUAGUGGGGGACAACCUGAGGAAACUCAGGCUAAUACCGCAUACGACCUACGGGUGAAAGCAGGGGAUCUUCGGACCUUGCGCUACUAGAUGAGCCUAUGUCAGAUUAGCUUGUUGGUGGGGUAAUGGCCUACCAAGGCAACGAUCUGUAGCUGGUCUGAGAGGACGAUCAGCCACACUGGGACUGAGACACGGCCCAGACUCCUACGGGAGGCAGCAGUAACGAAUAUUGUGCAAUGGGCGCAAGCCUGACACAGCGACGCCGCGUGUAGGAGGAAGUCCUUCGGGAUGUAAACUACUGUCAGGGGGAAGAAAGUGCGCUUCGGCGCAUUGAUCUAACCCAGAGGAAGUCACGGCUAACUUCGUGCCAGCAGCCGCGGUAAGACGAAGGUGGCAAGCGUUGUUCGGUAUUACUGGGCUUAAAGCGUGUGUAGGCGGAAAAUUAAGCGUUGUGUGAAAUCCCCCGGCUUAACCGGGGAACUGCAUAACGAACUGGUUUUCUUGAGGCAAGUAGGGGUGCAUGGAACUCUUGGUGGAGCGGUGGAAUGCGUAGAUAUCAAGAGGAACGCCAGUGGAGAAAUCGGUGCACUGGGCUUGUCCUGACGCUGAGACUCGAAAGCGUGGGUAGCGAACGGGAUUAGAUACCCCGGUAGUCCACGCCGUAAACGAUGCCUACUAGGUUGUGAAAGUUCUGACACUCGCACAGCCGAAGCAAAAGUGUUAAGUAGGCCGCCCUGGGGGAGUACGGUCGCAAGGCUGAACUCAAGGAAUUGACGGGGGCUCACACAAGCGGUGGAGCAUGUGGAUCAAUUCGAAGCAACGCGCAGA